CCUACGGGUGGCAGCAGUGGGGAAUAUUGGUCAAUGGGCGCAAGCCUGACCCAGCAACGCCGCGUGAAGGAAGAAGGCUUUCGGGUUGUUAACUUCUUUUAUCAGGGGCGAAGCAAGUUACGGUACCUGAUUAAUAAGCCACGGCUAACUAGGUGGCAGCAGCCGCGUCAAUACGUAGGUGGCAAGGGUUAUCCGGAUUACUGGGGGUAAAGGGCUUGUAGGGGGGAGUGCAAGUCAGAUGUGAAAACUAUGGGCGCAAACCAUAGCCUGCAGUUGAAACUGUACUUCUUGAGUGCUGGAGAGGUAAGCGGAAUGCGGGGGGUAGCGGUGAAAUGCGUAGAUAUAAGGAAGAACACCAGUGGCGAAGACGGAUUGCUGGACAGUAACUGACGCUGAGGCGCGAAAGCGUGGGGAGCAAACAGGAUUAGAUACCCGGGUAGUC
RNAcentral lists this ribosomal RNA (442 nucleotides) under uncultured bacterium. Its description in RNAcentral is "partial 16S ribosomal RNA". It matches the Rfam family "Bacterial small subunit ribosomal RNA", at positions 338 to 795 of the family's 1533-position model. The record is from RNAcentral.